RNAcentral lists this ribosomal RNA (17 nucleotides) under Borinda lushuiensis. Its description in RNAcentral is "Fargesia lushuiensis partial 26S ribosomal RNA". The record is from RNAcentral. RNAcentral also lists the same sequence under 1 other name. Lineage: Eukaryota; Viridiplantae; Streptophyta; Magnoliopsida; Poales; Poaceae.
UCGGACCGAGACCCCAG